UCGACUUUUCGAACGCAUAUUGCGGUAUCGGGCCCGCUCGAUACCACGCCUAUCUGAGGGUCGAAU
This 66-nucleotide ribosomal RNA is filed under the name Xiphinema pachtaicum. Its description in RNAcentral is "partial 5.8S ribosomal RNA". It matches the Rfam family "5.8S ribosomal RNA", at positions 92 to 154 of the family's 154-position model. Rfam says of the family: 5.8S ribosomal RNA (5.8S rRNA) is a component of the large subunit of the eukaryotic ribosome. It is transcribed by RNA polymerase I as part of the 45S precursor that also contains 18S and 28S rRNA. Functionally, it is thought that 5.8S rRNA may be involved in ribosome translocation. Lineage: Eukaryota; Metazoa; Nematoda; Enoplea; Dorylaimida; Longidoridae. The record is from RNAcentral.